CCUGGCGGCGUGCCUAACGACAUGCAAGUCGAGCGAGAUUCGGGGAGCUUGCUCCACUGGAAUUCAGCGGCGGACGGUGAGUAACGCGUGAGCAACCUGCCUUCAACAGGGGGAUAACGCAUCGAAAGAUGUGCUAAUACCGCAUGAGACCACAACAUCACAUGGUGAAGGGGUCAAAGGAGCAAUCCGGUUGAAGAUGGGCUCACGUCCGAUUAGCUGGUUGGUGAGACAACGGCCCACCAAGGCGACGAUCGGUAGCCGACCUGAGAGGUGAUCGGCCACAUUGGAACUGAGAUACGGUCCAGACUCCUACGGGAGGCAGCAGUGGGGAAUAUUGGGCAAUGGGCGAAAGCCCUGACCCAGCCAACGCCGGCGUGAGGGAAGUAAGGGUUUCGGCUCGUAAACCUCUGUCCUGUGGGACGAAGGAAGUGACGGUACCACAGGAGGAAGCCCCGGCUAACUACGUGCCAGCAGCCGC
Molecule: ribosomal RNA, 478 nt
Filed under: uncultured bacterium
Lineage: Bacteria
Description: bacterial SSU rRNA
Rfam family: Bacterial small subunit ribosomal RNA
Source: RNAcentral